RNAcentral lists this ribosomal RNA (497 nucleotides) under uncultured bacterium. RNAcentral's name for it is "partial 16S ribosomal RNA". It matches the Rfam family "Bacterial small subunit ribosomal RNA", at positions 28 to 507 of the family's 1533-position model. The record is from RNAcentral.
GAUGAACGCUGGCGGCGUGCCUAAUACAUGCAAGUCGAGCGAACAGACGAGGAGCUUGCUCCUCUGACGUUAGCGGCGGACGGGUGAGUAACACGUGGAUAACCUACCUAUAAGACUGGGAUAACUUCGGGAAACCGGAGCUAAUACCGGAUAAUAUAUUGAACCGCAUGGUUCAAUAGUGAAAGACGGUUUUGCUGUCACUUAUAGAUGGAUCCGCGCCGCAUUAGCUAGUUGGUAAGGUAACGGCUUACCAAGGCAACGAUGCGUAGCCGACCUGAGAGGGUGAUCGGCCAAACUGGAACUGAGACACGGUCCAGACUCCUACGGGAGGCAGCAGUAGGGAAUCUUCCGCAAUGGGCGAAAGCCUGACGGAGCAACGCCGCGUGAGUGAUGAAGGUCUUCGGUUCGUAAAACUCUGUUAUUAGGGAAGAACAAAUGUGUAAGUAACUAUGCACGUCUUGACGGUACCUAAUCAGAAAGCCACGGCUAACUACGUG